GUAUUAGAUUUCAGCUUUUAAAAGCUUACUAUAAAUCAUUCUAACAUGUUAUUGGUGUUUGAUAAAAACAUAGGCAAAUAAGAUUGCAUAGAUUACUCUGUGAACCUCUGUUCGCCUACUGGAGUGUGCACAUUGGGGUAAGAGAAGGAGAUUUUGCAGAGUGCACAUGCAAACCUAUGAAGGAGUGCCAGCACAUCUUUAAAUCAAUAAUGAUCCUUCCGCAGGUUCACCUACGGAAA
Molecule: unclassified non-coding RNA, 239 nt
Filed under: uncultured fungus
Lineage: Eukaryota; Fungi
Description: sequence contains ITS1
Source: RNAcentral